This 193-nucleotide unclassified non-coding RNA is filed under the name uncultured Minimelanolocus. Its description in RNAcentral is "sequence contains ITS2". The record is from RNAcentral. Lineage: Eukaryota; Fungi; Ascomycota; Eurotiomycetes; Chaetothyriales; Herpotrichiellaceae.
UCACCCCUCAAGCCUUCCGGCUUGGUGUUGGACGGUUUGGUGGCAGAGCCUUCGGGCGGCGGUCACCCCUCCCAAAGACAAUGACGGCGGCCUCGUUGGACCCCCGGUACACUGAGUUCCUCACCGAACACGUACCGGAUCAAGGGCCCGCGGAGCACGGUCUGCCUCCCCUCAGGGAGAACUUUUUUCUCAA